GUACCAUUCAGUCUACCUGGCCAUGUUAUUUCACUAUCACAACACCACUAACAUGGUCCCGAUUUCCCUGGUGUUGGCGCAGUAUUCGCGCACCCCGGUAUAGCC
Molecule: small RNA, 105 nt
Filed under: Atlantibacter hermannii
Lineage: Bacteria; Pseudomonadati; Pseudomonadota; Gammaproteobacteria; Enterobacterales; Enterobacteriaceae
Also listed under: 1 other name
Description: ArcZ RNA
Rfam family: ArcZ RNA
About the family: This RNA was discovered in E. coli during a large scale screen.
Source: RNAcentral